This 723-nucleotide ribosomal RNA is filed under the name uncultured marine eukaryote. RNAcentral's name for it is "SSU rRNA". It matches the Rfam family "Eukaryotic small subunit ribosomal RNA", at positions 451 to 1185 of the family's 1831-position model. The record is from RNAcentral.
CGAACUUCGGGAGGUAGUGACAAAAAAUAUCAAUAGGGGGACCAAUGGUCUUCCUAAUUGGAAUGAGUACAAUGUAAACACCUUAACGAGGAACCAGCAGAGGGCAAGUCUGGUGCCAGCAGCCGCGGUAAUUCCAGCUCUGUAAGCGUAUACCAAAGUUGUUGCAGUUAAAACGCUCGUAGUCGGAUUUUGGCGUGGUACAGCUGAGGUCCCUGAUUGGGUUCCGAGGUUAGUCCCGCCUUUGUGGAUGGGGGCGUGGUGGUGCUUAACUGUAUUGCUGCGUUUCCGCCACUGUUUACUGUGAAAAAAUUAGAGUGUUCAAAGCGAGCGAUUGCCAUGAAUACAUUAGCAUGGAAUAAUAGAAUAGGACCUGAUCCUGUUUUGUUGGUUUGUCGGUAUUAGGUAAUGAUUAAGAGGGACGGUCGGGGGCAUUUGUAUUCCAGGGUUAGAGGUGAGAUUCUUGGAUCCUUGGAAGACAAACAGCUGCGAAAGCGUCUGCCAAGGACGUUUUCAUUGAUCAAGAACGAAAGUAAGGGGAUCGAAGACGAUCAGAUACCGUCGUAGUCUUUACUAUAAACUAUGUGAUCUGGGGAUUAGCCGAGGCCUAUUUGGUUCGGUUAGCACCCUCCGGGAAACCAAAGAUUUUGCAUUCUGGGGGGAGUAUGGUCGCAAGUCUGAAACUUAAAGGAAUUGACGGAAGGGCAUCACCGGGUGUGGAGCCUG